RNAcentral lists this ribosomal RNA (255 nucleotides) under uncultured bacterium. RNAcentral describes it as "partial 16S ribosomal RNA". It matches the Rfam family "Bacterial small subunit ribosomal RNA", at positions 524 to 776 of the family's 1533-position model. The record is from RNAcentral.
UACGUAGGGUGCAAGCGUUAAUCGGAAUUACUGGGCGUAAAGGGCGCGUAGGCGGCCUACUAAGUCGGACGUGAAAUCCCCGGGCUCAACCCGGGAACUGCGUCCGAUACUGGAAGGCUUGAAUCCGGGAGAGGGAUGCGGAAUUCCAGGUGUAGCGGUGAAAUGCGUAGAUAUCGGGAAGAACACCAACGGCGAAAGCACUCUGCUGGGCCGAAAAACUGACACUGAUAGACGAAAGCUAGGGGAGCAAAUGGG